RNAcentral lists this ribosomal RNA (732 nucleotides) under uncultured bacterium. RNAcentral describes it as "bacterial SSU rRNA". It matches the Rfam family "Bacterial small subunit ribosomal RNA", at positions 72 to 829 of the family's 1533-position model. The record is from RNAcentral.
AUUUACUUCGGUAAAGAGCGGCGGACGGGUGAGUAACGCGCCAUUAACCUGCCCUGUACACACGGAUAACAUACCGAAAGGUAUGCUAAUACAAGAUAAAAUACUUUUAUCGCAUGGUAGAAGUAUCAAAGCUUUUGCGGUACAGGAUGGACCCGCGUCUGAUUAGCUAGUUGGUAAGGUAACGGCUUACCAAGGCGACGAUCAGUAGCCGACCUGAGAGGGUGAUCGGCCACAUUGGAACUGAGACACGGUCCAAACUCCUACGGGAGGCAGCAGUGGGGAAUAUUGCACAAUGGGCGAAAGCCUGAUGCAGCAACGCCGCGUGAGCGAUGAAGGCCUUCGGGUCGUAAAGCUCUGUCCUCAAGGAAGAUAAUGACGGUACUUGAGGAGGAAGCCCCGGCUAACUACGUGCCAGCAGCCGCGGUAAUACGUAGGGGGCUAGCGUUAUCCGGAAUUACUGGGCGUAAAGGGUGCGUAGGUGGUUUCUUAAGUCAGAGGUGAAAGGCUACGGCUCAACCGUAGUAAGCCUUUGAAACUGGGGAACUUGAGUGCAGGAGAGGAGAGUGGAAUUCCUAGUGUAGCGGUGAAAUGCGUAGAUAUUAGGAGGAACACCAGUUGCGAAGGCGGCUCUCUGGACUGUAACUGACACUGAGGCGCGAAAGCGUGGGGAGCAAACAGGAUUAGAUACCCUGGUAGUCCACGCCGUAAACGAUGAGUACUAGCUGUCGGAGG